UUUUGGACAAUGGGCGCAAGCCUGAUCCAGCCAUUCCGCGUGAGUGAAGAAGGCCUUCGGGUUGUAAAGCUCUUUCGCAAGGGAAGAAAACUUACACAAUAACACUGUGUGAGGCUGACGGUACCUUGAUAAGAAGCACCGGCUAACUACGUGCCAGCAGCCGCGGUAAUACGUAGGGUGCGAGCGUUAAUCGGAAUUACUGGGCGUAAAGCGUGCGCAGGCGGUUUUGUAAGACAGAUGUGAAAUCCCCGAGCUCAACUUGGGAACUGCGUUUGAAACUACAAGACUAGAAUAUGUCAGAGGGGGGUAGAAUUCCACGUGUAGCAGUGAAAUGCGUAGAGAUGUGGAGGAAUACCAAUGGCGAAGGCAGCCCCCUGGGAUAAUAUGACGCUCAUGCACGGA
RNAcentral lists this ribosomal RNA (402 nucleotides) under uncultured bacterium. Its description in RNAcentral is "bacterial SSU rRNA". It matches the Rfam family "Bacterial small subunit ribosomal RNA", at positions 362 to 757 of the family's 1533-position model. The record is from RNAcentral.